CAGAAUUCCACUCUCCAUAAUCAGUCUCCUCCUCACAUUGGACAAACAAUCGUGAUCAUACCUUGGGGCCUUUCCACAUCUUAUCCCUUCUGCUUUCUGAAGGACACCCAUAUGUUUCAUUCCCUUCCUGUUUCAGUCCUCAGAUUAAUAUCACCUUAUUAUAAAUAGGGCUUUCUAUGAUCCCUCUCUGUAAAAUAACAACAUUCUCCAACUCGACCUACUCUAUCCCUAUCAUCCUACUUAAUUUUACUUCAAGACACUUAACAUCGAAAUCACAAUACAUUCAAUUGUUUAUUUAUUUAUUGUCUGCUUCCCAACCUUUCCCCACUAGACUAUAAAUAUUGUAUAAAUCUAAGAGCUUCUUUUUUUUUUUUAAUUCAAGUCACUGAUCUCACAGCAUCUAGAAUGGUAUCUGUUACAGAGCUAGAUUCAAACUCCUGAGCUCAAGGGAUCCUCCUACAUCAGCCUCUCUAGUAGCUGAAACUACAGCCAUCCUAAUGGGUGUCAAAGGAUAUCUCAUUAUAGUUUUGAUUUUCAUUUCCCUGAUGGCAAAUGCUGUUGAGUAUAUUUUCGCGUCCUUAUUAGCCAUCUAUAUCUCUUUGUAGUUAGCUGCCAUCCUACUGAGGAAAAAGACAUCAUUCUAAUGUACUGUAAUAAAUUCUGAUCAUGAAAUCAGCCCAUUAGGAAGCACCUCUUGGAGAUCAUGGAUAACAUGCUAGGAAAAUGCAUCCUUUUUUAGUGGGCUUAUCAAAAAUAGUGAUGACGUACAUCUUGCCAAACCUAUUGCAACCUCCCCUUAGCAAGAACAUGUGAAAUGUUUUCAACUGGGAAGUCGGAUACAGAAGCAUCAUCCACAGUUUUUAUUGGGCCGAGUCAAAUAGGGGGCCUCUACCUGGUUGAAUUAUUAAGGGAUAAUUGAUCAUGUCUGUAACUUGCUCUCAAAUGGUUCAGCCAAAUGUCAGAAAUGUCAGAGAGACAGAGAGAAGGAGACAGGAGGAAGGGAGAGAGAAAGAGAAAAAGAGAAGAUAUAGUAAAGGUGGCAAAAUGAUGAAAAUUGGCAAAUGUACGUAAAGGCAUACAGAACUUCGAUGAACGAUUCUUGCAACCUUUAUAUAAUUCUGAAGGCUUUUAAAAAAAUGGCAAGCUUUCAAAUAAAAGCAAUUUAGGAAUUGUU
RNAcentral lists this long non-coding RNA (1174 nucleotides) under Homo sapiens (human). RNAcentral describes it as "HSALNT0307737". The record is from RNAcentral. Lineage: Eukaryota; Metazoa; Chordata; Mammalia; Primates; Hominidae.